This 79-nucleotide non-coding RNA is filed under the name Roseovarius aestuarii. The record is from RNAcentral. Lineage: Bacteria; Pseudomonadati; Pseudomonadota; Alphaproteobacteria; Rhodobacterales; Roseobacteraceae.
AAGAACCCACGUGGCGAUUUGUUACCGGAUUGCGGGCCACGUUAAACAUCACCGCUAAAGAGGUCAGACGGAGGAACUC